UCGAGAAUCUUUCGCAAUGGGCGAAAGCCUGACGAAGCGACGCCGUGUGUAUGAUGAAGGCCCUCGGGUCGUAAAGUACUUUCGCUUGGGAACAAGAAAAGCAGGCUAACAUCCUGCAGAUUUGAGCGUACCAAGUAAAGAAGCACCGGCUAACUCCGUGCCAGCAGCUGCGGUAAUACGGAGGGUGCAAGCAUUAAUCGGAUUUAUUGGGCGUAAAGGGCGCGUAGGCGGAAAGGCCAGUCAGAUGUGAAAUCCCGGAGCUUAACUUCGGAACAGCAUUUGAAACUACCUUUCUAGAGGAUAGGCGGAGAAAACGGAAUUCCACAAGUAGCGGUGAAAUGCGUAGAUAUGUGGAAGAACACCUGUGGCGAAAGCGGUUUUCUAGCUUAUUCCUGACGCUGAAGCGCGAAAGCAAGGGGAGCAAACAG
Molecule: ribosomal RNA, 428 nt
Filed under: uncultured bacterium
Lineage: Bacteria
Description: bacterial SSU rRNA
Rfam family: Bacterial small subunit ribosomal RNA
Source: RNAcentral